Molecule: ribosomal RNA, 305 nt
Filed under: uncultured bacterium
Lineage: Bacteria
Description: bacterial SSU rRNA
Rfam family: Bacterial small subunit ribosomal RNA
Source: RNAcentral
UCCUACGGGAGGCAGCAGUGAGGAAUAUUGGUCAAUGGGCGAGAGCCUGAACCAGCCAAGUCGCGUGAGGGAAGACGGUCCUAUGGAUUGUAAACCUCUUUUGUCGGGGAGCGACGGGGCAGUGUUGUGCCCUCUGAGAGUACCCGAAGAAAAAGCAUCGGCUAACUCCGUGCCAGCAGCCGCGGUAAUACGGAGGAUGCGAGCGUUAUCCGGAUUUAUUGGGUUUAAAGGGUGCGUAGGCCGAAGAUUAAGUCAGUGGUAAAAUUGCGGGGUUCAACAUCGUAUGGCCAUUGAAAUUGGUUUUU